This 557-nucleotide ribosomal RNA is filed under the name Bipolaris setariae. RNAcentral describes it as "eukaryotic LSU rRNA". The stretch from base 174 to 327 matches the Rfam family "5.8S ribosomal RNA". Lineage: Eukaryota; Fungi; Ascomycota; Dothideomycetes; Pleosporales; Pleosporaceae. The record is from RNAcentral.
AAAGAAAAAUAUGAAGGCUUUGGCUUCGCGGCCGGCUGAAAUAUUUUUUUCACCCAUGUCUUUUGCGCACUUGUUGUUUCCUGGGCGGGUUCGCCCGCCACCAGGACCAAACCAUAAACCUUUUUUUUAAUGCAGUUGCAAUCAGCGUCAGUAAAAAAUAAUGUAAUUAUUACAACUUUCAACAACGGAUCUCUUGGUUCUGGCAUCGAUGAAGAACGCAGCGAAAUGCGAUACGUAGUGUGAAUUGCAGAAUUCAGUGAAUCAUCGAAUCUUUGAACGCACAUUGCGCCCUUUGGUAUUCCAAAGGGCAUGCCUGUUCGAGCGUCAUUUGUACCUUCAAGCUUUGCUUGGUGUUGGGCGUUUUUUGUCUCCCUCUUGCUGGGAGACUCGCCUUAAAACGAUUGGCAGCCGGCCUACUGGUUUCGGAGCGCAGCACAUAUUUUGCACUCUGUGUCAGGAGAAAAGGACGGUAAUCCAUCAAGACUCUACAAAUUUUAACUUUUGACCUCGGAUCAGGUAGGGAUACCCGCUGAACUUAAGCAUAUCAAUAAGGCGGG